GUGUCAGCCGCCGCGGUAAGACGAACCGAGCGAACGUUGUUCGGAAUCACUGGGCUUAAAGGGCGCGUAGGCGGGCUGUCAAGUCUGGGGUGAAAUCCCACGGCUCAACCGUGGAACUGCCUUAGAUACUGACGGCCUCGAGGGAGAUAGGGGCGAGCGGAACUGUGAGUGGAGCGGUGAAAUGCGUUGAUAUUCACAGGAACUCCGGUGGCGAAGGCGGCUCGCUGGAUCUUUUCUGACGCUGAGGCGCGAAAGCUAGGGGAGCAAACGGGAUUAGAUACCCCAGUAGUCC
This 292-nucleotide ribosomal RNA is filed under the name uncultured bacterium. Its description in RNAcentral is "partial 16S ribosomal RNA". It matches the Rfam family "Bacterial small subunit ribosomal RNA", at positions 505 to 796 of the family's 1533-position model. The record is from RNAcentral.